UACGUAGGGGGCUAGCGUUGUCCGGAUUUAUUGGGCGUAAAGCGCGUGUAGGCGGUUUCUUAAGUCUGAUGUGAAAGCCCUGGGCUCAACCCAGGAAGUGCAUUGGAUACUGGGAGACUUGAAUACGGGAGAGGGUAGUGGAAUUCCUAGUGUAGGAGUGAAAUCCGUAGAUAUUAGGAGGAACACCGGUGGCGAAGGCGGCUACCUGGACCGAUAUUGACGCUGAGACGCGAAAGCGUGGGGAGCAAACAGG
This 253-nucleotide ribosomal RNA is filed under the name uncultured bacterium. RNAcentral describes it as "partial 16S ribosomal RNA". It matches the Rfam family "Bacterial small subunit ribosomal RNA", at positions 524 to 776 of the family's 1533-position model. The record is from RNAcentral.